AUGUACCCACGUACAUUCCGGUUCCUCCGCGCGGUCCGCACCCACCUGACGACUGCUCGCUACGUUUUGUUAGCC
This 75-nucleotide small RNA is filed under the name Xanthomonas campestris. RNAcentral describes it as "sRNA sX9". It matches the Rfam family "Xanthomonas sRNA sX9". RNAcentral also lists the same sequence under 7 other names. Lineage: Bacteria; Pseudomonadati; Pseudomonadota; Gammaproteobacteria; Lysobacterales; Lysobacteraceae. The record is from RNAcentral.